Molecule: long non-coding RNA, 1692 nt
Filed under: Mytilus galloprovincialis (Mediterranean mussel)
Lineage: Eukaryota; Metazoa; Mollusca; Bivalvia; Mytilida; Mytilidae
Source: RNAcentral
ACCGGUGUUAUAUAGCCAUUCUUCCCCCAUGCCAGUUUUUCCCCCGGGGGAAAGACUGGCAUGAGCCAAUAUUUCCCCCGUGGAAAUUUUGGAUCAUUGCCAUUCUUCCCCGCGGAAAUUUGACAAUACGUAUACAUAUAGUCACUUUUCCCCCAUGCCAAUCUUUCCCCCUAUAUUAUAGAUAUCACUGUAUAUAUAUACACGUCUGAAAAUUAAACCGAACAGUGUUAGAAAUAGGUUUAUAGAUACAAAUUUUUAGUUCUUUUACAUUAACAAAAGUCUGUCUACAGGUUUAUCAGUCUGUCUAUGUUUCAACUAUAAAUCUGUCUUUCUUUGUGUCCCCUAGUCUUUCUACAUUCUCAACUACAUGUCUGUCUUUAUGUCGACAAGUAUGUCUACAUAUUCACCCGUCUGUUCACAUGUUUACCAGUCUGUCUACAUAUUCACCCGUCUAUUCACAUGUUUACCAGUCUGUCUAUGCUCACUAGUCCGUCUAUAUGUUCACUAGCUUCGAAAUAGGUUUCAGUAACUGCGAGUACUUUUAUUUCGGUGCUUUGUUUCUAUUGUUUUUAUGUAAGUGAUUAUUGUGCAACGUAUCAACAUUUUUAGUGAAGCCAAUUGCAACUGAUACUUUUUUUCUUGCGGCGUGCUGUCCUAGGUUGGGUUCAAUGGGGAGUUUAUGGCCACCUUGUUUAUGUACCAAUGCCCAUUCCAAAGUCAGGAACAUGUAAUACCGGGUUCAGUGGUUGUUGUUGGUUCAUGUCGUUUGUGUAUGUUUUUUUUGUAAAUUAUUUUGUAAUCAAUAAGCCUGUUAGUUUUGUUUGUUUUGUUCCCUAAUUUGUAUGGUCGGAGCAUUUUAUAGCCGACUAUAUAUGUUUUUUCCCUCACUUUUGGAGGCCGUACGGUGGCCUUUUAUUACUUACUACCAGGUCUGUGUAACUCCGGUGGAUAUUUGUAUCAUAAGUGCUAUAUCGUGGUCGACCCUAUAUAUACACCUUUAGGGCAGGUGGAAUAUUUUUGUAGAUCUUGUACAGCGAGUCACAAUAAUGGAGGUAAUUCCUGUACUUCCACGUUUCCACUGCACGUCUCCCAUGCUGGUUGGAGAGGGGGAACAUAUCUCCCCUAGGUUUGAUUAAAUUUCACCCUUAUCGGACUUCUUCUUCUGAAUGAAAGCUUUAAGGCGAUGAGUAUUUUUCUCAAUCCAUGCCUUUGAUGGGUACUUUUACCUUGUGGUACAAAAAUUAUUUAUCAUGUAAAGUCAAAAUCGUGGUUUAAGUAGUUGUAUUCAUUAGGUCAAUGAUACCAAGGGGUCACGAAUGAGAAUGGAUGUGAUCACUGCAUCAGAAUGUGCUUCGUUUGUAUAAAUAUAACUUGUAUGUAUACAUGGUAUAUAUAAAUACUUAUCAAUUUAUAUUAAUACGGUGAAGCUUUGGUACCGCUAAACUAAUCAAAAAGUUAAUAUUCUUUUUUUAGGAUAAAAAUUUCUAGCCGACGUUAUAAAUUUAUAAAGGGGGAAAAACUAGCUCAUCAUGCCGCAAAGGGGAAAAAUUGGCCUGAUCCUCGUUUUCCCCCUAUAACGUUGAGGGGGGAAAGUUGGAUCAUGCCAAUUUUUCCGGGAGGAAAUAUUGGAUCGAUCCAGUUUUUCCCCCCGGAAAAAUUGGCAUGGGGGAAGAAUGGCUAUAGGACACCGGU